AGCUCUUUCGUCCAACGGGAGGACAGCGUCCUGAUAAGCCGUUAAUGCGGGUUCAAUUCCCGCAGGAGCAACCA
Molecule: transfer RNA, 74 nt
Filed under: Oscillospiraceae bacterium
Lineage: Bacteria; Bacillati; Bacillota; Clostridia; Eubacteriales; Oscillospiraceae
Description: tRNA-Ile
Rfam family: tRNA
About the family: Transfer RNA (tRNA) molecules are approximately 80 nucleotides in length. Their secondary structure includes four short double-helical elements and three loops (D, anti-codon, and T loops). Further hydrogen bonds mediate the characteristic L-shaped molecular structure. tRNAs have two regions of fundamental functional importance: the anti-codon, which is responsible for specific mRNA codon recognition, and the 3' end, to which the tRNAs corresponding amino acid is attached (by aminoacyl-tRNA synthetases). tRNAs cope with the degeneracy of the genetic code in two manners: having more than one tRNA (with a specific anti-codon) for a particular amino acid; and 'wobble' base-pairing, i.e. permitting non-standard base-pairing at the 3rd anti-codon position.
Source: RNAcentral